AUUGAACGCUGGCGGCAGGCCUAACACAUGCAAGUCGAACGGUAACAGGAAGACGCUUGCUUCUUUGCUGACGAGUGGCGGACGGGUGAGUAAUGUCUGGGAAACUGCCUGAUGGAGGGGGAUAACUACUGGAAACGGUAGCUAAUACCGCAUAACGUCGCAAGACCAAAGAGGGGGACCUUCGGGCCUCUUGCCAUAGGAUGUGCCCAGAUGGGAUUAGCUAGUAGGUGGGGUAACGGCUCACCUAGGCGACGUUCCCUAGCUGGUCUGAGAGGAUGACCAGCCACACUGGAACUGAGACACGGUCCAGACUCCUACGGGAGGCAGCAGUGGGGAAUAUUGCACAAUGGGCGCAAGCCUGAUGCAGCCAUGCCGCGUGUAUGAAGAAGGCCUUCGGGUUGUAAAGUACUUUCAGCGGGGAGGAAGGGAGUAAAGUUAAUACCUUUACUCAUUGACGUUACCCGCAGAAGAAGCACCGGCUAACUCCGUG
This 490-nucleotide ribosomal RNA is filed under the name uncultured bacterium. RNAcentral's name for it is "partial 16S ribosomal RNA". It matches the Rfam family "Bacterial small subunit ribosomal RNA", at positions 30 to 507 of the family's 1533-position model. The record is from RNAcentral.